UCGGGAAUAUUGCACAAUGGAGGAAACUCUGAUGCAGUGACGCCGCGUACAGGAAGAAGGUCUUUGGAUUGUAAACUGUUGUCGAAAGGGAAGAAAAAAGACAGUACCUUUGGAGGAAGCUCCGGCAAACUACGUGCCAGCAGCCGCGGUAAUACGUAGGGAGCGAGCGUUAUCCGGAUUUAUUGGGUGUAAAGGGCGCGUAGACGGUAUAACAAGUUGGUUGUGAAAUCCCGAGGCUCAACUUCGGAACCGCAACCAAAACUGUUUAACUUGAGUAUGGGAGAGGAAAGCGGAAUUCCUAGUGGAGCGGUGAAAUGCGUAGAUAUUAGGAGGAACACCAGUGGCGAAGGCGGCUUUCUGGACCAUAACUGACGUUGAGGCGCGAAAGUGUGGGGAGCAAACAGGAUUAGAUACCCUGGUAGUCCACACCGUAAACGAUGGAUACUAGGUGUAGGAUGGAUUAAACCGUUCUGUGCCGGCGCUAACGCAAUAAGUAUCCCACCUGAGUAGUACGACCGCAAGGUUAAAACUCAAAGGAAUUGACGGGGGCCCGCACAAGCAGUGGAGUAUGUGGUUUAAUUCGACGCAACGCGAAGAACCUUACCAGGGCUUGACAUAUACAGGAAUACUUAAGAGAUUAAGUAGCUCUUCGGAGCUUGUAUACAGGUGGUGCAUGGUUGUCGUCAGCUCGUGUCGUGAGAUGUUGGGUUAAGUCCCGCAACGAGCGCAACCCCUGUUGUUAGUUGCCAGCAAGUAAAGUUGGGAACUCUAACGAGACUGCCGGUGAUAAAUCGGAGGAAGGUGGGGACGAUGUCAAAUCAUCAUGCUCUUUAUGUCCUGGGCUACACACGUACUACAAUGGCAAGUACAGAGGGAAGCGAAACCGCGAGGUUGAGCAAAACCCAAAAAGUUGUCUCAGUUCAGAUUGCAGUCUGAAAUUCGACUGUAUGAAGAUGGAAUUGCUAGUAAUUGCAGGUCAGCAUACUGCAGUGAAUACGUUCUC
Molecule: ribosomal RNA, 1003 nt
Filed under: uncultured bacterium
Lineage: Bacteria
Description: bacterial SSU rRNA
Rfam family: Bacterial small subunit ribosomal RNA
Source: RNAcentral